CAGCUUUCUGGAUCAUUACUGACACUGAGGAACGAAAGCAUGGGUAGCGAAGAGGAUUAGAUACCCUCGUAGUCCAUGCCGUAAACGAUGUGUGUUAGACGUNGGAAAUUUAUUUUCAGUGUCGCAGCGAAAGCAUUAAACACACCGCCUGGGGAGUACGACCGCAAGGUUAAAACUCAAAUGAAUUGACGGGGACCCGCACAAGUAGUGGAGCAUGUGGUUUAAUUCGAAGAUACGCGCAGAACCUUACCAACACUUGACAUGUUCGUCGCGACUUUAAGAGAUUCAAAGUUUUCGGUUCGGCCGGACGAAACACAGGUGCUGCAUGGCUGUCGUCAGCUCGUGUCGUGAGAUGUUGGGUUAAGUCCCGCAACGAGCGCAACCCUCACUUUUAGUUGCCAUCAUUUAGUUGGGCACUCUGAAAGAACUGCCAGUGAUAAGCUGGAGGAAGGUGGGGAUGACGUCAAGUCCUCAUGGCCCUUACGUGUUGGGCUACACACGUGCUACAAUGGCAUUUACAAUAGGAAGCAAGAUGGCGACAUCAAGCAAAUCCUAAAAAAAUGCCUCAGUUCGGAUUGUACUCUGCAACUCGAGUACAUGAAGCUGGAAUUACUAGUAAUCSCGGAUCAGCGCGCCGCGGUGAAUACGUUCCCGGGUCUUGUACACACCGCCCGUCACACCAUGGGAGUUGGUUCUACCUUAAGG
Molecule: ribosomal RNA, 705 nt
Filed under: uncultured Pelagibacterales bacterium
Lineage: Bacteria; Pseudomonadati; Pseudomonadota; Alphaproteobacteria; Candidatus Pelagibacterales
Description: bacterial SSU rRNA
Rfam family: Bacterial small subunit ribosomal RNA
Source: RNAcentral